AAUAACUCAAUUCCUGCGUUUCCGUGUCCAACGUUUCACCGUCUGUCUCAUAUAAAAUUUUUUUAUGAUUACUAUUUUCAUUGUUGUUAGAUAAUAAAACAUGAAUAAUACUUUAUGCGUGACUUAUCAUUUUAAAUUUUUUCAUAAUUUUUUUUAAAUAAGACGGACAGUCAAACGUUGGACACAGAAACUCAGGAAUUGAGUUAUU
MicroRNA precursor from Oryza sativa Japonica Group (Japanese rice), 208 nucleotides. It matches the Rfam family "MIR812 microRNA precursor family". NCBI's taxonomy places the organism in Eukaryota, Viridiplantae, Streptophyta, Magnoliopsida, Poales, Poaceae. The record is from Rfam.